AGGUACACACAGUAAAGUUUAUUUUGGUGCAUGGUAUACUUCACUCCAUUAAAAAUAAAUUAAUCAGCAAAUUCCUGCCUGGCUCGGCUCUGGUUUAUGUAAAUAGUGCCCAGCUGUAAUGAGUUACAAGGUGUUAUUAUCUCACACACACAGAGGAGGCUUCACUCUGGAGCUCCGUGUGCAACAAAAGCAUCUUAAAUAAACUCAGAGAAGGCCGUUUGAUUUGUAAUGUUUUCACAGAAGUGGGAUAUACCUCAUCCAUAUAGAGUUUCUUUAUAUGACUCAUUUUAUAGCAAGUUAAAUGAAGGAAGUUUGAUGGGGGUGGGGGGAGGGAGGGACAAUAUGGUUCUCCACCCCCUUCUUCAAUUUAAAGAAAAUCCCCCCAAAGAUGACCCACACUCAGGGGGAGGAGACUAGUCCUCAGGGGCUCAGACCACGAGGGCUCUGCAGCACGUGCUCCGGAAGCUAGGAAGCGGGUGGUAGGCUGAGCACGGAGCGGGGUACUGGGGUGGUGCGAUGAAGCCAGGAAGCAUUCUCUUCCCCCCAGUAUCUCAUGUAAGGGGAGCCAAGGGAGGAAAGACAGCAUGACUCUACCCCAGUCCAGUGGGGGCCUUGUGUGACAAAGGGAACUGUCUUGAGGCCUCAGGAUGUGACAAGCCCCCUGGCCAGACAGGCCUCCUGGGUCCCCGAGGACGGGGUCAGCAGGAAAGAACACUGACAUUUCUG
RNAcentral lists this long non-coding RNA (726 nucleotides) under Bos taurus (domestic cattle). RNAcentral's name for it is "long non-coding RNA NONBTAT005638". The record is from RNAcentral. Lineage: Eukaryota; Metazoa; Chordata; Mammalia; Artiodactyla; Bovidae.